Molecule: ribosomal RNA, 253 nt
Filed under: uncultured bacterium
Lineage: Bacteria
Description: partial 16S ribosomal RNA
Rfam family: Bacterial small subunit ribosomal RNA
Source: RNAcentral
UACGUAGGGGGCAAGCGUUGUCCGGAAUCAUUGGGCGUAAAGAGCGCGUAGGCGGUCCGGUAAGUCCGCUCUGAAAGUCCGGGGCUCAACCCCGGGAGGCGGGCGGAUACUGUCGGGCUAGAGUCCUGAAGAGGCGAGUGGAAUUCCUGGUGUAGCGGUGAAAUGCGCAGAUAUCAGGAGGAACACCGAUGGCGAAGGCAGGGCUCUGGGCCGAUACUGACGCUGAGGAGCGAAAGCGUGGGGAGCGAACAGG